The sequence is a ribosomal RNA, 434 nucleotides long. It matches the Rfam family "Bacterial small subunit ribosomal RNA", at positions 341 to 792 of the family's 1533-position model.
ACGGAAGGCAGCAGUGGGGGAUAUUGCGCAAUGGGGGAAACCCUGACGCAGCAACGCCGCGUGAAGGAAGAAGGUUUUCGGAUUGUAAACUUCUUUUAUGUGGGACGAUAAUGACGGUACCACUUGAAUAAGCUCCGGCUAACUACGUGCCAGCAGCCGCGGUAAUACGUAGGGAGCAAGCGUUAUCCGGAUUUACUGGGUGUAAAGGGCGUGUAGGCGGGACAGCAAGUCAGAUGUGAAAGCACGAGGCUCAACUUCGUGUCUGCAUUUGAAACUGCUGUUCUUGAGUGCUGGAGAGGCUAACGGAACUCCUAGUGUAGCGGUGAAAUGCGUAGAUAUUAGGAAGAACACCAGUGGCGAAGGCGGUUAGCUGGACAGUAACUGACGCUGAGGCGCGAAAGCGUGGGUAGCAAACAGGAUUAGAUACCCUGGUA